AACGAACGCUGGCGGCGUGCCUAACACAUGCAAGUCGUGCGAGAAAGUUCCUUCGGGAGCGAGUAAAGCGGCGCACGGGUGAGUAACACGUAGGUAACCUGCCCCCCAGUCUGGAACAACUAGAGGAAACUCUAGCUAAUGCCGGAUGAGACCACGAUCCCUUCGGGGGUUGCGGCCAAAGAUGGCCUCUACUUGUAAGCUAUCGCUGAGGGAUGGGCCUGCGGCCAUUAGCUUGUUGGUGAGGUAACGGCUCACCAAGGCUGUGAUGGCUAGCUGGUCUGAGAGGAUGACCAGCCACACUGGGACUGAGACACGGCCCAGACUCCUACGGGAGGCAGCAGUGGGAAUAUUGGCGCAAUGGGGCGAAAGCCUGACGCAGCGACGCCGCGUGGGGUGAUGAAGGCC
RNAcentral lists this ribosomal RNA (405 nucleotides) under uncultured bacterium. RNAcentral's name for it is "bacterial SSU rRNA". It matches the Rfam family "Bacterial small subunit ribosomal RNA", at positions 29 to 416 of the family's 1533-position model. The record is from RNAcentral.